RNAcentral lists this ribosomal RNA (484 nucleotides) under uncultured bacterium. RNAcentral's name for it is "partial 16S ribosomal RNA". It matches the Rfam family "Bacterial small subunit ribosomal RNA", at positions 30 to 507 of the family's 1533-position model. The record is from RNAcentral.
AUUGAACGCUGGCGGCAGGCCUAACACAUGCAAGUCGAGCGGAUGAAGGGAGCUUGCUCCUGGAUUCAGCGGCGGACGGGUGAGUAAUGCCUAGGAAUCUGCCUGGUAGUGGGGGAUAACGUCCGGAAACGGGCGCUAAUACCGCAUACGUCCUGAGGGAGAAAGUGGGGGAUCUUCGGACCUCACGCUAUCAGAUGAGCCUAGGUUGGAUUAGCUAGUUGGUGGGGUAAAGGCCUACCAAGGCGACGAUCCGUAACUGGUCUGAGGGGAUGAUCAGUCACACUGGAACUGAGACACGGUCCAGACUCCUACGGGAGGCAGCAGUGGGGAAUAUUGGACAAUGGGCGAAAGCCUGAUCCAGCCAUGCCGCGUGUGUGAAGAAGGUCUUCGGAUUGUAAAGCACUUUAAGUUGGGAGGAAGGGCAGUAAGUUAAUACCUUGCUGUUUUGACGUUACCAACAGAAUAAGCACCGGCUAACUUCGUG